UGGGGAAUCUUGCGCAAUGCGCGAAAGCGUGACGCAGCAACGCCGCGUGGGGGAAGACGGCCUUCGGGUUGUAAACCCCUUUCAGGAGGGACGAAGGUUCACCGGUGAAUAGCCGUGUGGAUUGACGGUACCUCCAGAAGAAGCUCCGGCUAACUACGUGCCAGCAGCCGCGGUAAUACGUAGGGAGCAAGCGUUGUCCGGAAUCAUUGGGCGUAAAGCGCGCGUAGGCGGCCCUGUAAGUCCGUUGUGAAAGUCAAAGGCUCAACCUUUGAAAGCCGAUGGAUACUGCAGGGCUAGAGUCCGGAAGAGGCGAGUGGAAUUCCUGGUGUAGCGGUGGAAUGCGCAGAUAUCAGGAGGAACACCAAUAGCGAAGGCAGCUCGCUGGGACGGUACUGACGCUAAGGCGCGAAAGCGUGGGGAGCGAACA
RNAcentral lists this ribosomal RNA (427 nucleotides) under uncultured bacterium. Its description in RNAcentral is "bacterial SSU rRNA". It matches the Rfam family "Bacterial small subunit ribosomal RNA", at positions 355 to 774 of the family's 1533-position model. The record is from RNAcentral.